AUUGAACGCUGGCGGCAUGCCUUACACAUGCAAGUCGAACGGUAACAGGUCUUCGGAUGCUGACGAGUGGCGAACGGGUGAGUAAUACAUCGGAACGUGCCCGAGAGAGGGGGAUAACGAAGCAAAAGCUUUGCUAAUACCGCAUACGAUCUCAGGAUGAAAGCAGGGGACCGCAAGGCCUUGCGCUCACGGAGCGGCCGAUGGCAGAUUAGGUAGUUGGUGGGAUAAAAGCUUACCAAGCCGACGAUCUGUAGCUGGUCUGAGAGGACGACCAGCCACACUGGGACUGAGACACGGCCCAGACUCCUACGGGAGGCAGCAGUGGGGAAUUUUGGACAAUGGGCGCAAGCCUGACCCAGCCAUGCCGCGUGCAGGAUGAAGGCCUUCGGGUUGUAAACUGCUUUUGUACGGAACGAAAAGACUCUGGUUAAUACCUGGGGUCCAUGACGGUACCGUAAGAAUAAGCACCGGCUAACUACGUGCCAGCCGCCGCAGUAA
RNAcentral lists this ribosomal RNA (498 nucleotides) under uncultured bacterium. RNAcentral's name for it is "partial 16S ribosomal RNA". It matches the Rfam family "Bacterial small subunit ribosomal RNA", at positions 30 to 523 of the family's 1533-position model. The record is from RNAcentral.